UUAAUUGAAACCAAAAUAGAGGUAUAUUACUGUUAAUAAUAUUAUUGAAAGAAAAUUUCCAAUUAAA
RNAcentral lists this transfer RNA (67 nucleotides) under Rhaphidophora quadrispina. Its description in RNAcentral is "tRNA-Asn". The record is from RNAcentral. RNAcentral also lists the same sequence under 1 other name. Lineage: Eukaryota; Metazoa; Arthropoda; Insecta; Orthoptera; Rhaphidophoridae.